CCUACGGGAGGCAGCAGUGAGGAAUAUUGGUCAAUGGGCGCGAGCCUGAACCAGCCACGUAGCGUGAAGGAUGACUGCCCUACGGGUUGUAAACUUCUUUUAUAAAGGAAUAAAGUGAGGCACGUGUGCAUUUUUGUAUGUCCUUUAUGAAUAAGGAACGGCUAACUCCGUGCCAGCAGCAGCGGUAAUACGUAGGAUCCGAGCGUUAUCCGUAUUUAUUGGGUUUAAAGGGAGCGUAGAUGGGUUGUUAAGUCAGUUGUGAAAGUUUGCGGCUCAACCGUAAAAUUGCAAUUGAUACUGGCAGCCUUGAGUACAGUUGAGGUAGGCGGAAUUCGUGGUGUAGCGGUGAAAUGCUUAGAUAUCACGAAGAACUCCUAUUGCGAAGGCAGCUUACUAAACUGCCACUGACAUUGAUGCUCGAAAGUGUGGGUAUCAAACAGGAUUAGAUACCCGAGUAGUC
RNAcentral lists this ribosomal RNA (460 nucleotides) under uncultured bacterium. RNAcentral describes it as "partial 16S ribosomal RNA". It matches the Rfam family "Bacterial small subunit ribosomal RNA", at positions 338 to 795 of the family's 1533-position model. The record is from RNAcentral.